This 450-nucleotide ribosomal RNA is filed under the name uncultured bacterium. RNAcentral's name for it is "partial 16S ribosomal RNA". It matches the Rfam family "Bacterial small subunit ribosomal RNA", at positions 354 to 796 of the family's 1533-position model. The record is from RNAcentral.
GUGAGGAAUUUUCCGCAAUGGGCGAAAGCCUGACGGAGCAAUGCCGCGUGAAGGAUGAAGGCCUAUGGGUUGUAAACUUCUUUUGUACGGAACGAAACGGUCCUGGUUAAUACCUGGGGCUAAUGACGGUACCGUAAGAAUAAGCACCGGCUAACUACGUGCCAGCAGCCGCGGUAAUACGUAGGGUGCGAGCGUUAAUCGGAAUUACUGGGCGUAAAGCGUGCGCAGGCGGUGCUGUAAGACAGGCGUGAAAUCCCCGGGCUCAACCUGGGAAUUGCGCUUGUGACUGCAGUGCUGGAGUACGGCAGAGGGGGAUGGAAUUCCGCGUGUAGCAGUGAAAUGCGUAGAUAUGCGGAGGAACACCGAUGGCGGAGGCAGUCCCCUGGGCCUGUACUGACGCUCAUGCACGAAAGCGAGGGGAGCAAAAGGGAUUAGAUACCCCUGUAGUCC